Molecule: non-coding RNA, 27 nt
Filed under: Homo sapiens (human)
Lineage: Eukaryota; Metazoa; Chordata; Mammalia; Primates; Hominidae
Source: RNAcentral
UGGUGGGUGUUUGUGACAGAUUGUUUC